UGCGUAGGCGGACUAAUAAGUCAGUGGUGAAAUCUCUCGGCUCAACCGGGAAACUGCCAUUGAUACUGUUAGUCUUGAGUUCGGUUGAGGUAGGCGGAAUGUGUAAUGUAGCGGUGAAAUGCUUAGAUAUUACACAGAACACCAAUUGCGUAGGCAGCUUACCAGACCGACACUGACGCUGAGGCACGAAAGCGUGGGUAGCGAACAGGAUUAGAUACCCUGGUAGUCC
Molecule: ribosomal RNA, 229 nt
Filed under: uncultured bacterium
Lineage: Bacteria
Description: partial 16S ribosomal RNA
Rfam family: Bacterial small subunit ribosomal RNA
Source: RNAcentral